Molecule: small nuclear RNA, 189 nt
Organism: Tupaia belangeri (northern tree shrew)
Lineage: Eukaryota; Metazoa; Chordata; Mammalia; Scandentia; Tupaiidae
Gene: U2
Rfam family: U2 spliceosomal RNA
About the family: U2 is a small nuclear RNA (snRNA) component of the spliceosome (involved in pre-mRNA splicing). Complementary binding between U2 snRNA (in an area lying towards the 5' end but 3' to hairpin I) and the branchpoint sequence (BPS) of the intron results the bulging out of an unpaired adenosine, on the BPS, which initiates a nucleophilic attack at the intronic 5' splice site, thus starting the first of two transesterification reactions that mediate splicing.
Source: Ensembl
AUCACUUUUCAGUCUUUUGGCUAAGAUCAAGUGUAGUAUCUGAUUAUCAGCUUGAUAUCUGAUAUGUCUUCUAUCUGAGGAGAAUAUAUUAAAUAGAUUUUUGAAGCAGGGAGAUAGAAUAGGAGCUUGCUCUGUCCACUCUCUGCAUCUGCCUGGUAUUGAAGUACUUCCAGGAAUGGUGCACCCCCU